RNAcentral lists this ribosomal RNA (1012 nucleotides) under uncultured bacterium. Its description in RNAcentral is "bacterial SSU rRNA". It matches the Rfam family "Bacterial small subunit ribosomal RNA", at positions 353 to 1377 of the family's 1533-position model. The record is from RNAcentral.
AGUGGGGAAUAUUGGACAAUGGGCGAAAGCCUGAUCCAGCAACGCCGCGUGAGGGAUGACGGCCUUCGGGUUGUAAACCUCUUUCAGUAGGGACGAAGCGAAAGUGACGGUACCUACAGAAGAAGGACCGGCCAACUACGUGCCAGCAGCCGCGGUAAUACGUAGGGUCCGAGCGUUGUCCGGAAUUAUUGGGCGUAAAGGGCUCGUAGGCGGUUUGUCGCGUCGGGAGUGAAAACUCAGGGCUCAACCCUGAGCGUGCUUCCGAUACGGGCAGACUAGAGGUAUGCAGGGGAGAACGGAAUUCCUGGUGUAGCGGUGGAAUGCGCAGAUAUCAGGAGGAACACCGGUGGCGAAGGCGGUUCUCUGGGCAUUACCUGACGCUGAGGAGCGAAAGCAUGGGGAGCGAACAGGAUUAGAUACCCUGGUAGUCCAUGCCGUAAACGUUGGGCGCUAGGUGUGGGGACCUUCCACGGUCUCCGUGCCGCAGCUAACGCAUUAAGCGCCCCGCCUGGGGAGUACGGCCGCAAGGCUAAAACUCAAAGGAAUUGACGGGGGCCCGCACAAGCGGCGGAGCAUGCUGAUUAAUUCGAUGCAACGCGAAGAACCUUACCUGGGUUUGACAUAUACCGGAAAGCUGCAGAGAUGUAGCCCCCCUUGUGGUCGGUAUACAGGUGGUGCAUGGCUGUCGUCAGCUCGUGUCGUGAGAUGUUGGGUUAAGUCCCGCAACGAGCGCAACCCUCGUCCUAUGUUGCCAGCACGUAAUGGUGGGGACUCAUAGGAGACUGCCGGGGUCAACUCGGAGGAAGGUGGGGAUGACGUCAAGUCUUCAUGCCCCUUAUGUCCAGGGCUUCAAGCAUGCUACAAUGGCCGGUACAAAGGGCUGCGAUACCGCAAGGUGGAGCGGAUCCCAAAAAGCCGGUCUCAGUUCGGAUUGGGGUCUGCAACUCGACCCCAUGAAGUCGGAGUCGCUAGUAAUCGCAGAUCAGCAACGCUGCGGUGAAUACGUUCCCGG